RNAcentral lists this ribosomal RNA (396 nucleotides) under uncultured bacterium. RNAcentral's name for it is "partial 16S ribosomal RNA". It matches the Rfam family "Bacterial small subunit ribosomal RNA", at positions 360 to 773 of the family's 1533-position model. The record is from RNAcentral.
AAUAUUGCACAAUGGGGGAAACCCUGAUGCAGCGACGCCGCGUGAGCGAAGAAGGCCUUCGGGUCGUAAAGCUCUGUCCUAAGGGAAGAAACGGACGGUACUCAUGGAGGAAGCCCCGGCUAACUACGUGCCAGCAGCCGCGGUAAUACGUAGGGGGCAAGCGUUGUCCGGAAUUAUUAGGCGUAAAGGGUGCGUAGGCGGCCCUUUAAGUCAGAUGUGAAAGCCCACGGCUUAACCGUGGGACUGCAUUUGAAACUGGAGGGCUUGAGUGUCGGAGAGGGCAGUGGAAUUCCCAGUGUAGCGGUGGAAUGCGUAGAUAUUGGGAGGAACACCAGUGGCGAAGGCGACUGCCUGGACGAUAACUGACGCUGAGGCACGAAAGCUAGGGGAGCAAAC